GAGUUUGAUCAUGGCUCAGAUUGAACGCUGGCGGCAUGCCUUACACAUGCAAGUCGAACGGCAGCAUGAUCUAGCUUGCUAGAUUGAUGGCGAGUGGCGAACGGGUGAGUAAUACAUCGGAACGUGCCCUGUAGUGGGGAUAACUAGUCGAAAGAUUAGCUAAUACCGCAUACGACCUGAGGGUGAAAGUGGGGGACCGCAAGGCCUCAUGCUAUAGGAGCGGCCGAUGUCUGAUUAGCUAGUUGGUGGGGUAAAGGCCCACCAAGGCGACGAUCAGUAGCUGGUCUGAGAGGACGAUCAGCCACACUGGGACUGAGACACGGCCCAGACUCCUACGGGAGGCAGCAGUGGGGAAUUUUGGACAAUGGGCGAAAGCCUGAUCCAGCAAUGCCGCGUGUGUGAAGAAGGCCUCGGUU
RNAcentral lists this ribosomal RNA (416 nucleotides) under uncultured microorganism. RNAcentral describes it as "bacterial SSU rRNA". It matches the Rfam family "Bacterial small subunit ribosomal RNA", at positions 9 to 424 of the family's 1533-position model. The record is from RNAcentral.